GACGAACCGUGCGAACGUUAUUCGGAAUCACUGGGCUUAAAGCGCGUGUAGGCGGAUGGGAACGUCGGUAGUUGAAAGCCCCCGGCUCAACCGGGGAAGUGGUGCCGAAACGACCCGUCUGGAGGGACGUAGGGGGACCUGGAACUUCCGGUGGAGCGGUGAAAUGCGUUGAGAUCCACAGGAACUCCGGUGGCGAAGGCGGCAUCCUGGACCGGCAUUGACGCUGAGGCGCGAAAGCCAGGGGAGCAAACGGG
RNAcentral lists this ribosomal RNA (254 nucleotides) under uncultured bacterium. RNAcentral describes it as "partial 16S ribosomal RNA". It matches the Rfam family "Bacterial small subunit ribosomal RNA", at positions 524 to 776 of the family's 1533-position model. The record is from RNAcentral.